RNAcentral lists this ribosomal RNA (405 nucleotides) under uncultured bacterium. RNAcentral's name for it is "partial 16S ribosomal RNA". It matches the Rfam family "Bacterial small subunit ribosomal RNA", at positions 28 to 526 of the family's 1533-position model. The record is from RNAcentral.
GAUGAACGCUGGCGGCGUGCCUAAUACAUGCAAGUCGAGCGAAGCGGGGACGGGUGAGUAACAUGUGGAUAACCUCCUAUAAGACUGGGUUAACUUAGGGAAACCGGAGCUAAACCGGAAACUUAUAGAUGGAUCUGCGCUGCAUUAGCUAGUUGGUAAGGUAACGGCUUACCAAGGCAACGAUGCAUAGCCGACCUGAGAGGGUGAUCGGCCACACUGGAACUGAGACACGGUCCAGACUCCUACGGGAGGCAGCAGUAGGGAAUCUUCCGCAAUGGGCGAAAGCCUGACGGAGCAACGCCGCGUGAGUGAUGAAGGUCUUCGGAUCGUAAAGCUCUGUUAGUAGGGAGGCGUUACCUAAUCAGAAAGCCACGGCUAACUACGUGCCAGCCGCCGCGGUAAUAC